UCGCUUUAAUUGUUUCUAUCAGUCUUGUUGUCCGUUGCACUCCCAUUUCUACCUCCCCCAAGAAAUGAGUAAUACUUUCCGUGUUUUCAGCAGGUUUACAAAAGAGAGCUUUUUGUGCAGCCCGUCUGCAGGUGCAGCAAAGACCUUGGCAUGGGGCAAACCGAUUAUCACUUAUGAAAACAGUUAUACUCUAUUGUUCAUACUUCUUCAAGGUCUUGAGCAAAGCAUAAAUUCUCAUGAAAACGAACUUAACUUCAGUCCAAGCAUCAGACAGCUACACUGGUUUACUCUUGCCACAAGUGGAAUUGAUCUUGAUCUGGCUCGUUGUUCCUUUUUCCUAUGCUUAUAUUUCUUUGGUAAUUACAUCUAAAGUGAUAUAAGGCAUGGGAAAAUGGGGCAGCUGAGGUACUUCGCCAUCUGUUCCAAAAGGCAUCACCAAGGCGACCCUAGGAAUGCACAGAGAAAAACGAGGUAUCUUGGAAGCAGAAGGGUGAAAGGUCUCUUGCCUUUCUUCAAUCAGCAGAAAAAUAGUGGUUAAAUGCAUUUGUAACCUUUCUGUCCAAUUACUUUUAUUUUCUCUAAAUAGCAAUAUGUUACAUCCAUUUGGGAGGGCUGUGGGGCUAUGGAAUAUUACUAUUACAAAACAGUGUAACUGUAUAUAUCACAUGUCGAAUGAAAAUCUCAUCUUUCAGCCACGGAUCAGAAGUUUGCCUUAUGCUGCGUUAUAAAUUCUAACAAGUCUUAUAAAACUAUGUGUCUAGAAAAAGCAAAACUAGGUGGAUUACAAAGUCAUUUUACUCAACAGUUAUUGUCAUGCCAUCCUAUUAAGCCUAGAUUAAUAUUUUAGAAGUUAUUGUUUCAUUUAUCUGUAACAUGUGUCAGAAGAUUUUUCUAUUUACAUGUAACUUUCUUGAAUUAAAAGGCAAUAAAAAUGUGUAUAUUCAAAUGUAUCUUUUUUUUCACUGGUUUCGUAUCAAGGCUUGUGGUAAAGGGAGUAGAAAUAUAGAAACAAUACAUUGCUUAAUUCACUUCUGAGAGGAUGGAAGGGGUCUUUUUAAAUAAAAGAAUAUUAAACCAAACAACUGCCAUUAAAAUCAAGAGGAACUUCUAGAACUACUGCACAUCAAGGUGGGAAAAGGGGAUACAAAACAAACAAAAAUGCAAACAAACAGGAGACAAACCUUCAUGUAGCUUCCAUUUUCUCCAAUUCCAGAAAUUUCACAUUCAAAUAAAAUAAACAAACUGCAACUGUAA
Molecule: long non-coding RNA, 1254 nt
Organism: Pogoniulus pusillus (Red-fronted tinkerbird)
Lineage: Eukaryota; Metazoa; Chordata; Aves; Piciformes; Lybiidae
Exons: 3
Source: RefSeq, a predicted model, not a curated record